UAGGGGCACUACAUUCCCGGUUGUUGCCAUCUCCACUUCCAACCUUUGCCAAAAAACAACAGCUCCAAAACUCAAAUUUCAGAGAAUUCACACUAGAAUAUAAAAAUUUCCUGUGAGUCCAAAAAAAUUCCUUCCUGAUGAAAAAAACAAACUAGAUUCUACACGAGCAAGCAGCUAAAAUUUCAGAUAAUUCACCACAAAAUAAAUAAACCCUAAAAUGAUCUAUUACCUCUGAUUAGGGGCACUACAUUCCUGGUUGUUGCCAUCUCCUCUUCCAAAUUUUGCCAAAAAACGACAGCUCCAAGACCGGAUAUAACAGAAGAAAAUAAAAAAGGACAUGGAUUCAAAAAUUAGGGUUUCUGCUACUGUGAGAAGAGUGAACUAAGAGGAGAGCAAGGAAAAACCAGUCCUAUCUCCCCCUCAACCACUAACCCUUCUUCUCUUUAUUAUUCUGCCUCCUCUCUUCUUCGUCUCUCUUCUUCUCUCUAUUCUUCUGCCUCCUCUCUUCUUCGUCUCUCUUCUUCUCUCUAUUCUUCUGCCUCUUCUCUUUUAUUUCUCUCUCUCUCUUCUUCUCUUUUUCUCUCUCUAAACUCGUUAAGUUUGAGUCUUCUUCUCUUUUUCUCUCUCUAAACUCGUUAAGUUUGGUUUUCAAAUGGCAUUGUUCUUGUCUGGUCGAGAUAUAUAAAGGCACCGCUAUCAACGGUCAUUUGUUUGUGACGGUUGGAUUCGUUUUUUCCAUUGGUUGGGACAUUGGAUUCUGCCGAAACACAUCCAACGGUUGGCAACUUCUUGCAAAAUUCUCUCUCUCG
RNAcentral lists this long non-coding RNA (809 nucleotides) under Amborella trichopoda. RNAcentral's name for it is "long non-coding RNA (ATRI_LNC000091)". Lineage: Eukaryota; Viridiplantae; Streptophyta; Magnoliopsida; Amborellales; Amborellaceae. The record is from RNAcentral.